GGUUUUUGUUUAAGAAGAGACGUUAGAAAGACAUUAGUCUCACAUGCAUGUCAGAUGUAACGUCUCCUUCAUCAUUACUGUUGAUGCACAUUAGAAGACUUUCUGACUGGCUGUGCAGCAGGACUGGAUGUGAUGAUGGAUCACUCUUUUCUCUGUGUGCUGGGGUUAUUCUUGCUUCGUACGUCCAUUGAUGCAAAUGCUGAAGCCAAAGCCACUCUGACAGCAGACAGUUCAAUCCUACCAGCAGGGGGCAGUGUGACUCUGACCUGUUCUCUGAAGAUUCCUGCAGGACUCAGUUAUGAGCUGUACAGAAAUAAUCACAUCAAACAUUCUGAUAAACCAGGAGGAGUUUUCAAGAUCUCAGA
This is a long non-coding RNA of Melanotaenia boesemani (Boeseman's rainbowfish), 365 nucleotides long. RefSeq lists it as uncharacterized. The record is from RefSeq and is a predicted model, not a curated record. The transcript is spliced from 3 exons. NCBI's taxonomy places the organism in Eukaryota, Metazoa, Chordata, Actinopteri, Atheriniformes, Melanotaeniidae.